AUACGGAGGGUGCAAGCGUUAUUCGGAAUCACUGGGCGUAAAGGACGCGUAGGCGGGUUGGCAAGUCAGAUGUGAAAUCCUACAGCUUAACAGUAGAACUGCAUUUGAAACUGCUAACCUAGAGUAUGGGAGGGGGAGAUGGAAUUAGUGGUGUAGGGGUAAAAUCCGUAGAUAUCACUAGGAAUACCGAAAGCGAAGGCGAUCUCCUGGAACAUAACUGACGCUAAGGCGUGAAAGCGUGGGGAGCAAACAGGAUUAGAAACCCUUGUAGUCC
Molecule: ribosomal RNA, 274 nt
Filed under: uncultured bacterium
Lineage: Bacteria
Description: partial 16S ribosomal RNA
Rfam family: Bacterial small subunit ribosomal RNA
Source: RNAcentral